Molecule: ribosomal RNA, 478 nt
Filed under: uncultured bacterium
Lineage: Bacteria
Description: partial 16S ribosomal RNA
Rfam family: Bacterial small subunit ribosomal RNA
Source: RNAcentral
GAUGAACGCUGGCGGCGUGCUUAACACAUGCAAGUCGAACGGGAAUUAUUUUAUUGAAACUUCGGUCGAUUUAAUUUAAUUCUAGUGGCGGACGGGUGAGUAACGCGUGGGUAACCUGCCUUAUACAGGGGGAUAACAGUCAGAAAUGGCUGCUAAUACCGCAUAAGCGCACAGAGCUGCAUGGCUCAGUGUGAAAAACUCCGGUGGUAUAAGAUGGACCCGCGUUGGAUUAGCUGGUUGGUGGGGUAACGGCCCACCAAGGCGACGAUCCAUAGCCGGGCUGAGAGGGUGAACGGCCACAUUGGGACUGAGACACGGCCCAGACUCCUACGGGAGGCAGCAGUGGGGAAUAUUGCACAAUGGGGGAAACCCUGAUGCAGCGACGCCGCGUGAAGGAAGAAGUAUCUCGGUAUGUAAACUUCUAUCAGCAGGGAAGAUAGUGACGGUACCUGACGAAGAAGCCCCGGCUAACUACGUG